Long non-coding RNA from Drosophila kikkawai, 760 nucleotides. RefSeq lists it as uncharacterized. Lineage: Eukaryota; Metazoa; Arthropoda; Insecta; Diptera; Drosophilidae. The record is from RefSeq and is a predicted model, not a curated record.
CAUAAACUAGAUCAUUCAUUUCUCAUCCUCUAUCACAAAAAAAAAGUGGAAAAUUGGUAAUAUUAAUGCACUUUACCAUUGACACCGGCGUUUGCAGCUCGUAAACAACAACAUGGAAAAUAAUGCCAAAAGCCCGUUGAGAUCUUCUCUUCCAAAAUCGGCGAAAUAAAACAACCAAAUUAUAAUCCCGAAGACCCAACGCAGGCUGCGCUGCCUGCGUCGAUGCCACAGAGAGUGAGAGUCUCGAGGCUCGGAACUCGAAACGAAGCCGAUUCUUCGUGCCUUCCGAGACUCUUCGGAGACUCGUCUUUGGAGGCGGUGUCUUAGUAGGUGAGGUCGGCUCACAAGUUUCGAUUUCAUUCGGCUCUUCUUAAGGCCCGAUCGUCGCAGGUUCGUGUGUUCGGUUGCAUUCGCUGUGGCUAUUUUUAGACAGGUUCCAAAGCCACGUUUUCUAACUGUUGUUAGCGUACGAGCCGAGAUCGCGGACUCUGGAGAUGCCGAGCUCUCGGGCUCUCGAGCUGGAAGCCCCAGACAAAACGUGAGAUCGCUGGAUCGCCCGACUGCUGCGUCGACAGCGACGUCAACUACACAGAGCAAAAAUAUUGUUGUUUAUAAAUUUUAAAAAUUUGUUGAUCUUUUAAUUGAAAGGAAAAUGGAACUUAAGAUAGCAAAAGUCACUUCUCUAAACAUUUUUAGGGUAUUUUAUAACUUUUCUUAAAAUAUCUUCGAGGUAUUUUUUAAAAUAAAUAUUUAAAUGUGA